GGACAGGAGUUGGUGUGAAGCUUCUCUGAGCCUCAGUUCCCUCAUCUAUGGAAUAGGAGCCAGAGUUCCUCCCUCCAGGGUCAGAAGGCAGCUAGCUGAUAAGGGGAGCAGCACCCACGGUGAGGUCUGACCAACAGCCGCAACCAUAGUGGCGCUUUGCUGAGUCUUCCUUGAGCUCCCUGUGUGCCUAACGCAGAGCUUCUCCCCUCCCCGGGGCUUUGGAAAAUCUGCUCUGAAAUGUCUUGUGUCUACAGGAUGAAUUAGCCAAACGACAACUCCGGUGUGAGCAGAACGGGCUCAUUGGGUCAAGACACAAUUCCACCACAGAACGGGUUUCACAAAGGACCAUGUCCCAUCAACUCAGCAAUGAAACCAUCGUGGUCUGGAAACCUGAGAUCAGGACCCACAGAAUGACUGGCGGAAUGACAGACCAAAUGUGGAAGAUGUUCCAACCAGGAAUGAAUCACUUACUUCCAACGUUUCCUAAAGAGGCAAUGGGCUCCUGGGCCCUUUCUCACUCGGGAGGGCCUUUCCUCUGCCCCAUCAUUCUGAGGGUUUCUGGAAGAUGGAGUCCCGCUCUGUUGCCCAUGCUGGAGUGCAGUGUCGCGAUCUGGGUUCGCUGCAACCUCCGCCUCCCAGGUUCAAGUGAUUCUCCUGCCUCAGCCUCCUGAGUAGCUACGAUUACAGCCCGAGAGGAAAGCCCCAUGCUAUCCCCAUUUCAUAGAUGGGAAAACUGAGGCUUGAGGACACUUUGCGGCCUCCAAGGGCUGUUCUCUUCAUUCCUCCAGCAGAGUGGAUAUGAGACGGUGCAGGGUCUGGAAUGUCUGGGCAGAAGGAAGAGCUGGAGCAAAGGCCUGGAGGCUGGAGAGCGCUGUCGGGGGGCAAGUGGGGCAGUGUCCCACUGCGGGGUUUCAUCUCAGCUCUGCCAUGUCUUGGCUACGUGACCUCUGACACCCUACUGGGCCUCUUUGAUCCCAGACUCACCUGUA
Molecule: long non-coding RNA, 989 nt
Filed under: Homo sapiens (human)
Lineage: Eukaryota; Metazoa; Chordata; Mammalia; Primates; Hominidae
Description: plaque enriched lncRNA in atherosclerotic and inflammatory bowel macrophage regulation
Source: RNAcentral